GCAGCGAUGCCGCGUGAGUGAAGAAGGCCCUUGGGUUGUAAAGCUCUUUCGUCGGGGAAGAAAAUGACUGUACCCGAAUAAGAAGGUCCGGCUAACUUCGUGCCAGCAGCCGCGGUAAUACGAAGGGACCUAGCGUAGUUCGGAAUUACUGGGCUUAAAGAGCACGUAGGUGGUUAAAAAAGUUGGUGGUGAAAUCCCAGAGCUUAACUCUGGAACUGCCAUCAAAACUUUUUAGCUAGAGUAUGAUAGAGGAAAGUAGAAUUUCUAGUGUAGAGGUGAAAUUCGUAUAUAUUAGAAAGAAUACCGAUUGCGAAGGCAGCUUUCUGGAUCAUUACUGACACUGAGGUGCGAAAGCAUGGGUAGCGAAAAGGAUUAGAUACCCUCGUAGUCCAUGCCGUAAACGAUGUGUGCUAGACGUUGG
Molecule: ribosomal RNA, 421 nt
Filed under: uncultured Pelagibacterales bacterium
Lineage: Bacteria; Pseudomonadati; Pseudomonadota; Alphaproteobacteria; Candidatus Pelagibacterales
Description: bacterial SSU rRNA
Rfam family: Bacterial small subunit ribosomal RNA
Source: RNAcentral